Carassius gibelio (silver crucian carp) is the source of this 2110-nucleotide long non-coding RNA. RefSeq lists it as uncharacterized. The record is from RefSeq and is a predicted model, not a curated record. NCBI's taxonomy places the organism in Eukaryota, Metazoa, Chordata, Actinopteri, Cypriniformes, Cyprinidae. The transcript has 5 exons.
UAGAUAGAUAGAUAGAUAGAUAGAUAGAUAGACAGAAAAAGAUAUACAGACAGACAGAAAAAGACAGACAGACAGACAGACAGAUAGACAGAUAGAUAGAUAGAUAGAUAGACAGAUAGACAGACAGACAGACAGACAGACAGACAGACAGACAGACAGACAGACAGACAGACAGAUAGAUAGAUAGAUAGAUAGAUAGAUAGAUAGAUAGAUAGAUAGAUAGAUAGAUAGAUAGAUAGAUAGAUAGAUAGAUAGAUGGAAAAGUUGUUCGUCCCACAUUUCCAAUGAAAGACUAAGCCUGUCAGGACAUGGCUAGAUAUGUUUGUUUAUUAAGAUUAGAUCGUUAUAAAUGCUUCAGAUAAGUGAAUUCUUAUCAUUGUUCCGGUUGGAGGAGCAUAAUUCUGAGCUCUGACGCAUGACAUGACGCAAUACUCUCUCGCCCAUUGAAAGUUCCCGAUUCCCUGCCAAACUGGUUCGACUGCUGAAGUCAGACGAAUUCUUUACAUCUAAUGACUGAGUUUAUCUGGAAGCAGUGAUCAAAGCACUUGAAUCUCUGGGUGAUGACCCCCAGCGUGAAUCCAGAGAUGCGGUGAAGCGACUAGAGCAGCACUGUCUCUCAUCCCAUUGACCCAGAAACUUCAUUCAAGCCAAUUAAGCUUUUCGCUUCACAAGACAUUAACUGAUGGACUGCUGACUGAUGUGGAUUACUUGUGGAUUAUAGUGAUGUUUUUAUCACACUCUCAUUCUGACGGCACCCAUUCACUGUAGAGGAUCCACUGAUGAGCAAGUGAUGAGCAACAUUUCUCCAAAUCUGUUCUGAUGAAGUAAUGAAAUAAUCUAAAUCUUGUAUGGCCUGGAGCAUGUAUGCGACAGAGGUCUACCCCCCUCCACCCCCAAAGACUUCCAAGAAAUCAUUGAUCAGUUACUUUAAUCCGUCAGUAAUCAAGAUGAUCCUCCACCUCUCAGACAACCCAUUAACUAGUGUGCUAUAGGAAUGAGCUGGCACCGGUACCUGAACGUGAGCAUUGUUUCCCCUUCACCUCCAACCAGACAUCAGAUCUUCGUCUGAAAUCCAGACAGUCCACGCUCAUGCCAGGUUUAUGGAUUAUCCAUCCAUAGGAAUAUAACCCUCUCCUCUCAUUACCGCUGACUCGCUGAUGGAAAAGUCGCUCACCCAAUGCUGGAUGAAUCUGUACAGCUGCAGCUCACGUGAUGAAUGUUGGAGGGAGGGAACGUGUCUGAACUAGCUGAUGAACAAAAUCAGCACCUAAUAAAGAGGUUGACUGGCAUGAAGUAUUUUAUGUAUUUUGAAAAAACUAAAAAUACGAACCUUUUCCAAAGGCUUUUAAAUACAAAUUAGUAUUUGAAACACAUAUUUGAAAUACAUGUAUCUUAAAUACUACCCAACCCUGCAUAAAAAUACACUGACUUUUUUGUUUAAAAUUGUUUCAGACUGUAUUCACUUUCAAACGGUGCUUGAUCUGUGUAUAUUUCUCUCCUGAUUCAGAGGAGACGAUGUUUUCACUGGACAAAGCACUGUUAUGGAUAUGGAUGUUUUUUUUUGUUUGUUUGUUUGUCUGAAGUUAAAAUUAACAGAAAACUAAACUUAUCUUAGAUGGCCUGAAAAAGAGUACAUUUUCAGCAAAUGUAUAAUUACUGGGUGAACUAUUUCUUUAUUAAUAAACAAUUAAUAAAUACAGCAAAUUGCAGUUUUCUUUUAUUUUAUUUUUUAUUAAAACGUAUUUAGCAUUUAUAAUUGUACUGUAAAAAUAUCCUGUUAAAUUUUGAGAGUCCUAGAAAAUUCACUAUUAAAUUAUGGUAAGAAUGUUUCAGGUAUUAUGGGAUAGUAUAUUGGUGCCUUAUUUAAUCAAACUGAGACUAUUUCAUCAAGUUAUAAUAACAAAAGGUUAAUACCUAUUGACUUGAACUACUAGCACAGUAGUUCUCUAAUAGAUACAUUAGAUAAUGGACUUUAACAUUUUAAUACAUUAACCUCUAAUUCUUCUUCAUGAUUAAGCUAGUUUAUGAACAAGGCUCAUUUUAAUUUUAAUUUAUAUUAGAGAAGUCUGUUUUAAUCUGGACCAUCAUAAAUAGAAUGUUUUAAUCCAAA